GACGAACGCUGGCGGCGUGCUUAACACAUGCAAGUCGAACGGAAAGGCCCUGCUUUUGUGGGGUGCUCGAGUGGCGAACGGGUGAGUAACACGUGAGUAACCUGCCCUUGACUUUGGGAUAACUUCAGGAAACUGGGGCUAAUACCGGAUAGGAGCUCCUGCUGCAUGGUGGGGGUUGGAAAGUUUCGGCGGUUGGGGAUGGACUCGCGGCUUAUCAGCUUGUUGGUGGGGUAGUGGCUUACCAAGGCUUUGACGGGUAGCCGGCCUGAGAGGGUGACCGGCCACAUUGGGACUGAGGUACCGCCCAGACUCCUUCGGGAGGCAGCAGUGGGGAAUAUUGCACAAUGGGCGGAAGCCUGAUGCAGCAACGCCGCGUGCGGGAUGACGGCCUUCGGGUUGUAAACCGCUUUCGCCUGUGACGAAGCGUGAGUGACGGUAAUGGGUAAAGAAGCACCGGCUAACUACGUG
This 468-nucleotide ribosomal RNA is filed under the name uncultured bacterium. RNAcentral's name for it is "partial 16S ribosomal RNA". It matches the Rfam family "Bacterial small subunit ribosomal RNA", at positions 28 to 507 of the family's 1533-position model. The record is from RNAcentral.